RNAcentral lists this ribosomal RNA (239 nucleotides) under uncultured bacterium. RNAcentral's name for it is "partial 16S ribosomal RNA". It matches the Rfam family "Bacterial small subunit ribosomal RNA", at positions 108 to 334 of the family's 1533-position model. The record is from RNAcentral.
GAGUAACGCGUAGGUAAUCUACCCUUUAGUUGGGGAUAACAUCGCGAAAGCGAUGCUAAUACCGAAUAUGGUAUUCCAAGGCAUCUUGGGGUUACCAAAGACGGGGAUCUUUCGGGACCUGUCGCUAGAGGAGGAGCCUGCGUACCAUCAGCUUGUUGGUGAGGUAAAAGCUCACCAAGGCUUACGGUUAGCCGGCCUGAGAGGGUGAUCGGCCACACUGGGACUGAGACACGGCCCAG